RNAcentral lists this ribosomal RNA (235 nucleotides) under uncultured bacterium. RNAcentral describes it as "partial 16S ribosomal RNA". It matches the Rfam family "Bacterial small subunit ribosomal RNA", at positions 102 to 339 of the family's 1533-position model. The record is from RNAcentral.
GACGGGUGAGUAACGCGUUGGUAAUCUACCUUACACUGGGGGAUAACAUCUGGAAACGGGUGCUAAUACCGCAUAUGUGCAAAGCUGGGAUGUUUUGUACGAAAGAUUCAUUGGUGUAAGAUGAGCCUGCGUAUGAUUAGCUAGAUGGUGGGGUAACGGCCUACCAUGGCGAUGAUCAUUAGUUGGUCUGAGAGGAUGGCCAGCCACAGUGGGACUGAGACACGGCCCAAACUCC